UUGUCGUCACAGUGCAAAUUGUAUGGUUUCUCCUGAGUAUGUAGGUAAAGCCACAAAUUCGUAUGUCUGCAAUGCACAGGAUGGAAAACCCCAGUGAUGCAAAGUUGUAUACAAAACUACUUAAGGACACCAAUCAAAACAUGGCGAACCAAAGCCAAGCUGUUCGUCGUAGUUUGACGUCACAGGUUCACCAGAUCGAUUUGCCUUUCUUCCACUUUCUCUUAAUUUCAAUGAAAGCAAUGCUCAGACGGCACGCAAGAAUAAGCUAAGACUCGAAAUGUUUUUAAGUAAUGAAAUAGGUAAUGUUAAGAAAAACUAUUGAAAUAGGAAGAAAAUUUUCAGCACACUCACCUCGUUCAAACUAAAUGGACCUGUUGCAGUGAACUGAGGGAUACCUCAAUCGCAUCUGAAAUCGAAUUCAGAUUCAAAGAUGAGCAAAGAUAUACUAGAUAUUUCAUAGGGACAAUUAAAAAAUAAAUUGAAAAGAAAACAGAUUCCCGAAAGCUUUAAAGGCUUAGAGAAUAUCGAAUCCCGAAAGCUUUAAAGGCUUAGAGAACAAUACCUGGGUGAAAUGUUGGCUUGUUGUCAUUUGCGUCUUUUACAGAAACAUGCAACUGAAAUAAAAAUUCAUUCAGCAAAUCUAAGAUAAUCUGAGAUGAAGAUUGUAAUAAACUGUUUGAAAUGAACGAAGGAGAGAAAAUUUGAGGUUUUAUAGUGAAAGAGGUAAGGUUUUAAAAACUUUGAUGAAAAUUUUUUGUCAAUGGGAGGAGAUUGUUUGUGCAAUGAAAACUUGAUGCAUCUUCAGAACUGAGAUUGAUACACUUAAAUAAGUAGGUUCAAAUACCUUAGCUAAUGCACUACGCGGAGGAAUUCCCAUGUCACUUGCACUGAUCUGAAAAAGUUGAUCAAUUGAAAGAGAGGUUGCAUUGUUACGGUAGGAUACAUUACAAAUUCAAAGUAGUAGAACGACCUAAUGGUGACUGACUGUAUUGUUACCGACUUACAGACUGAGCGAAGCUCCACACCGAUACACAAUUUGAUUAAAAUUUCGAAAUUACUUUUGUCAUAAGUUUCCUUGUCUAUUGCCCAAACUAGGCCAUUACGCUUCAGGACAACAACACAAUCUGACAUAGUAGUUAAUUCACUGUGCGCUGUUGAUUAACCCGAAAAGUAUGGUAAAUUAACAUAUAAUGCUGACCGUACAUAGCCUAAAUCAAUCAUGCAAGCAAUUUACGAUUGAGUUAAUAAAACUAAAUAUUCAUCGAAAUGUAAAAAAAUACUCACAAAAAGAGUAAAUGAGUGCUCAUUGUUUGGCGGGUCUCUAUCAAUAUUGCUAAGAACGAAGACUGCUCCGCUGUUGACAUCAAUAGAAAAUCUAUUAUUUGUGUUUCCCUGUGUUAUUUUGUACCGGAUCAGCUGGUUCCGUCCGACAUCUUUGUCGGUCGCUCUAAAGCUGGCAACCACGCUGCCUGCUGGGGUAUCCUCGCCAAUGGUUAUCGAGAUCGAACUUUUUUCAAAGAUGGGCGAAUUGUCAUUUUGAUC
Non-coding RNA from Rhopilema esculentum, 1542 nucleotides. The record is from RefSeq and is a predicted model, not a curated record. NCBI's taxonomy places the organism in Eukaryota, Metazoa, Cnidaria, Scyphozoa, Rhizostomeae, Rhizostomatidae.